Molecule: ribosomal RNA, 292 nt
Filed under: uncultured bacterium
Lineage: Bacteria
Description: partial 16S ribosomal RNA
Rfam family: Bacterial small subunit ribosomal RNA
Source: RNAcentral
GUGCCAGCAGCCGCGGUAAUACGUACGAGGCGAGCGUUAUCCGGAAUUACUGGGCGUAAAGCGCGCGCAGGUGGCUUGGUAAGUGAGAUGUGAAAUCUCCCGGCCUAACUGGGAGGGGACAUUUCAGACUGGCAGGCUUGAGGACAGCAGAGGUAGGUGGAAUUCCUGGUGUAGUGGUGAAAUGCGUAGAGAUCAGGAGGAACACCGGUGGCGAAGGCGGCCUACUGGGCUGUCUCUGACGCUGAGGCGCGAAAGCUCGGGGAGCGAACGGGAUUAGAUACCCCAGUAGUCC